This 440-nucleotide ribosomal RNA is filed under the name uncultured bacterium. RNAcentral describes it as "bacterial SSU rRNA". It matches the Rfam family "Bacterial small subunit ribosomal RNA", at positions 338 to 795 of the family's 1533-position model. The record is from RNAcentral.
CCUACGGGCGGCAGCAGUGGGGGAUAUUGCACAAUGGAGGAAACUCUGAUGCAGCAACGCCGCGUGAGGGAAGAAGGUCUUCGGAUUGUAAACCUCUGUCCUCAGGGACGAUAAUGACGGUACCUGAGGAGGAAGCUCCGGCUAACUACGUGCCAGCAGCCGCGGUAAUACGUAGGGAGCAAGCGUUGUCCGGAUUUACUGGGUGUAAAGGGUGCGUAGGCGGCCCUGCAAGCCAGGUGUGAAAACUAUGGGCUUAACGCAUAGAUUGUACUUGAAACUGUGGGGAUUGAGUGAAGUAGAGGCAGGCGGAAGCCCCGGUGUAGGGAUGAAAAGCGUAGAGGUCGGGAAGAACACGGGUAGCGAGGGCGGACUGCUGGGCUUUAACUGACGCUGAGGAACGAAAGCGUGGGUAGCAAACAGGAUUAGAUACCCUAGUAGUC